This 717-nucleotide ribosomal RNA is filed under the name uncultured bacterium. Its description in RNAcentral is "bacterial SSU rRNA". It matches the Rfam family "Bacterial small subunit ribosomal RNA", at positions 8 to 753 of the family's 1533-position model. The record is from RNAcentral.
AGAGUUUGAUCCUGGCNCAGGACGAACGUUGGCGGCGUGCCUAACACAUGCAAGUCGAGGGUAGCAAUACACUGGCGCACGGGUGAGUAACGCGUAGAUUAUCUGCCCCUUUCACAGGGAUAACCCGGGGAAACUCGGACUAAUAUCUGAUGAGGCAAUUUAUUGUCAAAGUGGCGACACGGAAAGGGAUGAGUCUGCGUCCGAUUAGCUUGUUGGUAAGGUAACGGCUUACCAAGGCGAUGAUCGGUAACUGGUCUGAGAGGACGAUCAGUCACACUGGAACUGAGACACGGUCCAGACUCCUACGGGAGGCAGCAGUGAGGAAUAUUGGUCAAUGGGGGCAACCCUGAACCAGCGACGCCGCGUGAGGGAUGACAGGGCUUUGCCCCGUAAACCUCUGUCGAGUGGGAAAAAAGGGAGCUUUUGGCUUCUGGGCUUGUACCACUGGAGGAAGCACCGGCUAACUACGUGCCAGCAGCCGCGGUAAUACGUAGGGUGCAAACGUUGUCCGGAAUUACUGGGUGUAAAGGGUGCACAGGCGGCUUUUUGCGUCAGAGGUAAGAUGCCACUGCUCAACAGUGGAUCUGCCUUUGAUACGGGGAGGCUUGAAUGCAAGAGAGGAUGAUAGAAUUCCUGGUGUAGCGGUGAAAUGCGUAGAUAUCAGGAGGAAUACCAGUGGCGAAGGCGGUCAUCUGGCUUGUCAUUGACGCUUAAGCA